Molecule: long non-coding RNA, 78 nt
Organism: Mustela erminea (ermine)
Lineage: Eukaryota; Metazoa; Chordata; Mammalia; Carnivora; Mustelidae
Exons: 3
Source: RefSeq, a predicted model, not a curated record
AAUUCAUAGUGGUGAGAAACCAUAUGAAUUUAAGGAAUGUGGGAAGACCUUUGGUAGUAGCCUCAACACUUAACUAAC